This 470-nucleotide ribosomal RNA is filed under the name uncultured bacterium. Its description in RNAcentral is "bacterial SSU rRNA". It matches the Rfam family "Bacterial small subunit ribosomal RNA", at positions 28 to 524 of the family's 1533-position model. The record is from RNAcentral.
GACGAACGCUGGCGGCGUGCCUAAAACAUGCAAGUCGAACGGUGUAGCAAUACACAGUGGCGAACGGCGAAGUAAUACAUAAGCAACGUGCCCUGAAGACUGGGAUAGUCAGAGGAAACUCUGGGUAAUACCAGAUGUGGUCAUCAUCCGGCAUCGGGAGAUGAUUAAAUGGUUUUUCGCUUCAGGAGCGGCUUAUGGCCUAUCAGGUAGUUGGUGGGGUAAUGGCCUACCAAGCCAACGACGGGUAGCGGGUCUGAGAGGAUGAUCCGCUCGAGUGGGACUGAGACACGGCCCACACACCUACGGGUGGCAGCAGUUGGGAAUCUUGCACAAUGGGGGAAACCCUGAUGCGGCGACGCCGCGUGGAGGAUGAAGGAUCUAGGUCUGUAAACUCCUUUUUCUAGGGAAAGACUUAGGACGGUACCCUGAGAAUAAGGACCGGCUAACUACGUGCCAGCAGCCGCAGUAAC